UUCUAGUACUUGAAGUCUGAUUCUGCUGUCUCCUGUUACUGAAGACUCUCAUUCAUGGUGCCUGGAUUGCUUAAACAUUUAAAACCAAGAUUUGUUUAACAUUCAUUAUCUCAGUGGUGGAAAUAAUCAUCCGAAGUAGACUUUGGUGCUGUCAUUUUCCAGCAUUGUUGGUGAUCUUGAGAGCUCGGCCAGGACAUUCAUAUGCACCAUUGUGGCAGUGGGGAAAGAUGAUGGAAGGAGCAAGAACUUUUGAAUGGGAUUCUGUAUUUAAUUUCUUCCCUUCUAAUCUGAUGAUGAAACGUCUUCAAAAAGAAGAGUAAUUUAACCUCCAACUCUCUGUACAAUCAGGUAAUACUAUUGUACUCAGUUGAGGUGAGAGGCAUGGUGCAUUACCCAGCACAUGGCGGGGCACAGUAAGUGUUUGUUUGGCUUUUUUUCUUUUCUCUCUCUCUCUCUG
RNAcentral lists this long non-coding RNA (457 nucleotides) under Homo sapiens (human). RNAcentral's name for it is "HSALNT0354369". Lineage: Eukaryota; Metazoa; Chordata; Mammalia; Primates; Hominidae. The record is from RNAcentral.